Molecule: ribosomal RNA, 253 nt
Filed under: uncultured bacterium
Lineage: Bacteria
Description: partial 16S ribosomal RNA
Rfam family: Bacterial small subunit ribosomal RNA
Source: RNAcentral
UACGUAGGGGGCAAGCGUUGUUCGGAAUUACUGGGCGUAAAGGGCGCGUAGGCGGUUCGUUAAGUCCUGUGUGAAAUCCCCCGGCUCAACUGGGGAACUGCACAGGAAACUAGCGGGCUUGAAUCCGGGAGAGGGAUGUGGAAUUCCAGGUGUAGCGGUGAAAUGCGUAGAUAUCUGAAGGAACAUCAGUGGCGAAAGCGACUUCCUGGACCAAUACUGACGCUCAUGUGCGAAAGCGUGGGGAGCAAACAGG